This 16-nucleotide transfer RNA is filed under the name Nolana spathulata. RNAcentral describes it as "partial tRNA-His". RNAcentral also lists the same sequence under 17 other names. The record is from RNAcentral. Lineage: Eukaryota; Viridiplantae; Streptophyta; Magnoliopsida; Solanales; Solanaceae.
UUGGCUACAUCCGCCC